This 300-nucleotide ribosomal RNA is filed under the name uncultured Lactobacillus sp. RNAcentral describes it as "bacterial SSU rRNA". It matches the Rfam family "Bacterial small subunit ribosomal RNA", at positions 496 to 795 of the family's 1533-position model. The record is from RNAcentral. Lineage: Bacteria; Bacillati; Bacillota; Bacilli; Lactobacillales; Lactobacillaceae.
GUGAACCCCGGGCCAGCAGCGCAGGGAAGACGGAGGGGGCAAGCGUUAAUCGGAAUUAAUGGGCGUAAAGCGUGCGCAUGCGGCUUAGUAAGUCAGAUGUGAAAUCCCUAGGCUCAACCUAGGAACUGCAUUUGAAACUAAUAAACUAGAGUAUCGUAGAGGGAGGUAGAAUUCCAGGUGUAGCGGUGAAAUGCGUAGAUAUCUGGAGGAAUACCAGUGGCGAAGGCGACCUCCUGGACGAAAACUGACGCUCAAGCACGAAAGCAUGGGGAGCAAACAGGAUUAGAUACCCCUGUAGUC